Long non-coding RNA from Glossina fuscipes, 536 nucleotides. RefSeq lists it as uncharacterized. The record is from RefSeq and is a predicted model, not a curated record. NCBI's taxonomy places the organism in Eukaryota, Metazoa, Arthropoda, Insecta, Diptera, Glossinidae. The transcript has 3 exons.
AAUUUGUGUUUUGCACCAACUAUUAUACAAAAAUACUUUUGACGGCAACAUUUAAUAAAAUUAUUAGCAAUUUGGCAACAUAUUGUUGAGAAGAGUGGACAUGAAUGUGAUUGUCAGCAAAAAGCAACUGAACCCCGCUUCAGUAUGAAUCGUGGAUGCCCAACUUAAAAAUACACUAGCUAAUGUGCUUUGCGUGCCAGGAAGUUGAUGUUAUAAGGAACAUUCUCAUCGAAACCAUAGCAGUGGGCAGGACAGCUUUUACAGAGCUGGAGUUUUUAAUGAUCUUGUAAAGAGUGCACUGGUUGAGGCUGCUGUCUUUAAGUUGACUCUCGAUGGAGACAGACACUCUCUUCGUCCAUUUUCCGUAUAGAAGCUCUUUUCAAGCUGAUAUAUAUACUUCAAAGAGCUACCGAAAAGUACAACAAAAAUUUUGUUUGUGUUAUGACUUUAUUCAUCCAGUAUCCUGCUUAAUAUAAUGGAAUAACAAAGCUACAGUAUUUUUGCUUAUUAUUUCAAUUAAGAUUAUAUGUAGUUUG